RNAcentral lists this ribosomal RNA (486 nucleotides) under uncultured bacterium. Its description in RNAcentral is "bacterial SSU rRNA". It matches the Rfam family "Bacterial small subunit ribosomal RNA", at positions 28 to 524 of the family's 1533-position model. The record is from RNAcentral.
GAUGAACGCUAGCGGCAGGCUUAAUACAUGCAAGUCAAGGGGGUAGCAAUACAACCGGCGCACGGGUGAGUAACGCGUACACAACAUACCAUAUACUGGGGUAUAGCUUUGGGAAACUGAAGGUAAUCCCCCAUAACAUUGCGAGAGGGCAUCUGAUUGCAAUUAAAGUUUCGGCGGUAUAUGAUUGGUGUGCGUUUGAUUAGCUAGUUGGUAGGGUAACGGCCUACCAAGGCGACGAUCAAUAGCUGGCGUGAGAGCGCGACCAGCCACACUGGAACUGAGACACGGUCCAGACUCCUACGGGAGGCAGCAGCAGGGAAUAUUGGACAAUGGGCGCAAGCCUGAUCCAGCCAUGCCGCGUGAUAGAUGAAGGCCCUCUGGGUUGUAAAUAUCUUUUAUCUGGGAAGAAACUCCUCUAUUCUUAGAGGCCUGACGGUACCAGAGGAAUAAGCAACCGGCUAACUCCGUGCCAGCAGCCGCGGUAAU